This 883-nucleotide ribosomal RNA is filed under the name uncultured archaeon. RNAcentral describes it as "bacterial SSU rRNA". It matches the Rfam family "Archaeal small subunit ribosomal RNA", at positions 29 to 922 of the family's 1478-position model. The record is from RNAcentral.
GCCAUGGAUGAACUAGCAUGCGAGUCAUUGUAGCAAUACAAGGCAGACGGCUCAGUAACGCGUAGUCAAUCUACCCUAUGGACGGGAAUAACCUCGGGAAACUGAGAAUAAUACCCGAUAGAACAUUAUGCCUGGAAUGGCUUAUGUUUCAAAUGAUUUAUCGCCGUAGGAUGGGACUGCGGCCUAUCAGUUUGUUGGUGAGGUAAUGGCCCACCAAGACUAUUACAGGUACGGGCUCUGAGGGGAGUAGCCCGGAGAUGGGUACUGAGACACGGACCCAGGCCCUAUGGGGCGCAGCAGGCGAGAAAACUUUGCAAUGUGCGAAAGCACGACAAGGUUAAUCCGAGUGGUUUCUGCUAAAGAAACCUUUUGCUAGUCCUAGAAACACUAGUGAAUAAGGGGUGGGCAAGUUCUGGUGUCAGCCGCCGCGGUAAAACCAGCACCUCAAGUGGUCAGGAUGAUUAUUGGGCCUAAAGCAUCCGUAGCUCGUUUUGUAAGUUUUCGGUUAAAUCCAUACGCUUAACGUAUGGGCUGCCGGGAAUACUGCAUAACUAGGAAGUGGGAGAGGUAGACGGUACUCGGUAGGAAGGGGUAAAAUCCUUUGAUCUAUUGAUGACCACCUGUGGCGAAGGCGGUCUACCAGAACACGUUCGACGGUGAGGGAUGAAAGCUGGGGGAGCAAACCGGAUUAGAUACCCGGGUAGUCCCAGCUGUAAACUAUGCAAACUCAGUGAUGCAUUGGCUUGAUGCCAAUGCAGUGCUGCAGGGAAGCCGUUAAGUUUGCCGCCUGGGAAGUACGUACGCAAGUAUGAAACUUAAAAGGAAUUGGCGGGGGAGCACCACAAGGGGUGAAGCCUGCGGUUCAAUUGGAGUCAACGCCGGG